AUUGAACGCUGGCGGCAUGCUUUACACAUGCAAGUCGAACGGCAGCGCGGGCUUCGGCCUGGCGGCGAGUGGCGAACGGGUGAGUAAUGCAUCGGAACGUGCCCAGUAGUGGGGGAUAGCCCGGCGAAAGCCGGAUUAAUACCGCAUACGACCUGAGGGUGAAAGCGGGGGACCGAAAGGCCUCGCGCUAUUUGAGCGGCCGAUGUCGGAUUAGCUAGUUGGUUGGGUAAAGGCUUACCAAGGCGACGAUCCGUAGCUGGUCUGAGAGGACGACCAGCCACACUGGGACUGAGACACGGCCCAGACUCCUACGGGAGGCAGCAGUGGGGAAUUUUGGACAAUGGGGGCAACCCUGAUCCAGCCAUGCCGCGUGCGGGAAGAAGGCCUUCGGGUUGUAAAACGCUUUUGUUCGGGAAGAAAUCCUCUGGGCUAAUACCCCGGGGGGAUGACGGUACCGGAAGAAUAAGCACCGGCUAACUACGUG
This 484-nucleotide ribosomal RNA is filed under the name uncultured bacterium. RNAcentral's name for it is "partial 16S ribosomal RNA". It matches the Rfam family "Bacterial small subunit ribosomal RNA", at positions 29 to 507 of the family's 1533-position model. The record is from RNAcentral.